RNAcentral lists this unclassified non-coding RNA (308 nucleotides) under plant metagenome. RNAcentral's name for it is "partial contains 5.8S ribosomal RNA, internal transcribed spacer 2, and large subunit ribosomal RNA". The stretch from base 1 to 105 matches the Rfam family "5.8S ribosomal RNA", at positions 50 to 154 of the family's 154-position model. The record is from RNAcentral.
GAAAUGCGAUAAGUAAUGUGAAUUGCAGAAUUCAGUGAAUCAUCGAAUCUUUGAACGCACAUUGCGCCCCUUGGUAUUCCGGGGGGCAUGCCUGUUCGAGCGUCAUUACAACCCUCAAGCUCUGCUUGGAAUUGGGCACCGUCCUCACUGCGGACGCGCCUCAAAGACCUCGGCGGUGGCUGUUCAGCCCUCAAGCGUAGUAGAAUACACCUCGCUUUGGAGCGGUUGGCGUCGCACGCCGGACGAACCUUCUGAACUUUUCUCAAGGUUGACCUCGGAUCAGGUAGGGAUACCCGCUGAACUUAAGC